UACGUAGGGUGCGAGCGUUAAUCGGAAUUACUGGGCGUAAAGCGUGCGCAGGCGGUUUUGUAAGACAGGCGUGAAAUCCCCGGGCUCAACCUGGGAAUGGCGCUUGUGACUGCAAAGCUGGAGUGCGGCAGAGGGGAGUGGAAUUCCGCGUGUAGCAGUGAAAUGCGUAGAUAUAUGGAGGAACACCGGUGGCGAAGGCGGCUGCCUGGCCUGUAACUGACGCUGAGGCGCGAAAGCGUGGGGAGCAAAUAGG
RNAcentral lists this ribosomal RNA (253 nucleotides) under uncultured bacterium. RNAcentral's name for it is "partial 16S ribosomal RNA". It matches the Rfam family "Bacterial small subunit ribosomal RNA", at positions 524 to 776 of the family's 1533-position model. The record is from RNAcentral.